This 472-nucleotide ribosomal RNA is filed under the name uncultured bacterium. RNAcentral's name for it is "bacterial SSU rRNA". It matches the Rfam family "Bacterial small subunit ribosomal RNA", at positions 29 to 507 of the family's 1533-position model. The record is from RNAcentral.
AGCGAACGCUAGCGGCGGGCUUAACACAUGCAAGUCGAGCGCAUCUCCUUCGGGAGGUGAGCGGCGAACGGGUGAGUAACACGUAGGUAACGUACCCUCUGGUGGGGAAUAACCCAGGGAAACUUGGGCUAAUACCGCAUGUGCCCUUCGGGGUGAAAGACUUCGGUUGCCAGAGGAUCGGCCUGCGGCCCAUUAUUUAAUCCUAGUUGGUAGGGUAACGGCCUACCAAGGGUACGAUGGGUAGCUGGUCUGAGAGGAUGAUCAGCCACACUGGGACUGAGACACGGCCCAGACUCCUACGGGAGGCAGCAGUGGGGAAUAUUGGACAAUGGGCGCAAGCCUGAUCCAGCAAUGCCGCGUGUGUGAAGAAGGCCUGCGGGUUGUAAAGCACUUUCAGUGGGGAAGAACAGAUUCGGGUCAAUACCCCGGAGCCCUGACGUUACCCACAGAAGAAGCACCGGCUAACUCCGUG